This 516-nucleotide ribosomal RNA is filed under the name uncultured bacterium. Its description in RNAcentral is "bacterial SSU rRNA". It matches the Rfam family "Bacterial small subunit ribosomal RNA", at positions 355 to 863 of the family's 1533-position model. The record is from RNAcentral.
UGGGGAAUCUUGCGCAAUGGGCGAAAGCCUGACGCAGCAACGCCGCGUGAGGGAAGAAGGCUUUCGGGUUGUAAACCUCUUUCAGGAGGGACGAAGCCACCGGGGUUAAUAGCCCACGGGGUGACGGUACCUCCAGAAGAAGCCCCGGCUAACUACGUGCCAGCAGCCGCGGUAAUACGUAGGGGGCAAGCGUUGUCCGGAAUCAUUGGGCGUAAAGCGCGUGUAGGCGGCUUGGUAAGUCCGGUGUGAAACCCUGGGGCUCAACCCCAGGCCUGCAUCGGAUACUGCCUCGCUCGAGUUCGGGAGGGGAGAGCGGAAUUCCUAGUGUAGCGGUGAAAUGCGCAGAUAUUAGGAAGAACACCGGUGGCGAAGGCGGCUCUCUGGAACGAUACUGACGCUGAGACGCGAAAGCGUGGGUAGCGAACAGGAUUAGAUACCCUGGUAGUCCACGCCGUAAACGAUGGGCACUAGAUGUGGGCGGUGUCGACUCCGUCCGUGUCGCAGCUAACGCAUUAA